RNAcentral lists this ribosomal RNA (489 nucleotides) under uncultured bacterium. RNAcentral describes it as "partial 16S ribosomal RNA". It matches the Rfam family "Bacterial small subunit ribosomal RNA", at positions 30 to 506 of the family's 1533-position model. The record is from RNAcentral.
AUUGAACGCUGGCGGCAGGCCUAACACAUGCAAGUCGAACGGUAACAGGAAGCAGCUUGCUGCUUUGCUGACGAGUGGCGGACGGGUGAGUAAUGUCUGGGAAACUGCCCGAUGGAGGGGGAUAACUACUGGAAGCGGUAGCUAAUACCGCAUAACGUCGCAAGACCAAAGAGGGGGACCUUAGGGCCUCUUGCCAUCGGAUGUGCCCAGAUGGGAUUAGCUAGUAGGUGGGGUAACGGCUCACCUAGGCGACGAUCCCUAGCUGGUCUGAGAGGAUGACCAGCCACACUGGAACUGAGACACGGUCCAGACUCCUACGGGAGGCAGCAGUGGGGAAUAUUGCACAAUGGGCGCAAGCCUGAUGCAGCCAUGCCGCGUGUAUGAAGAAGGCCUUCGGGUUGUAAAGUACUUUCAGCGGGGAGGAAGGGAGUAAAGUUAAUACCUUUGCUCAUUGACGUUACCCGCAGAAGAAGCACCGGCUAACUCCGU